GUGAUGAAUUGUGCUCACAGUUUGCAUGUUCUCCCCGUGACUGCGUGGGUUCUCUCCGGGUACUCCGGCUUCCUCCCACCUCCAAAGACAUGCACCUGGGGAUAGGUUGAUUGGCAACACUAAAUUGGCCCUAGUGUUUGAAUGUGAGUGUGAAUGUUGUCUAUCUGUGUUGGCCCUGCGAUGAGGGGGUGACUUGUCCAGGGUGUACCCCGCCUUCCACCCGAUUGUAGCUGAGAUAGGCUCCAGCGCCCCCGCGACCCCAAAGGGAAUAAGCGGCAAAAAAUGGAUGGAUUGACCGGAAGUGGCUUUAUUUGGGGAUUUCCUGGACGAUACCGGAAGUGACUCUACAGAUACCACCAGCCAGGUAUCAUUGUACUUUUUAAUCUUCUUACAAACUUUGGCCACAGGUGUUCUAAUACAAUAUGCCCAAUGACACCAGUUGUGAUUCGAAAAUGGAGGUCAGCUGCUAGUUAGGCAAACACCGCCACCAACAGGACCACAGCCAGGGCGCGAGCCAUCUGAGUCUGGGCUUUCUGGCUGAGGUACAAACAGUCAGUGAAGAAGGAGUGGUCUGGGCGGCCAUCCUGUGAGGUUUCAACAGUGAGUGUAUAUGUACUGUACUUAUAUUCUACAUUUAAACAUGCAUGUAUCAUUACUGACCGGUAGUCUGGGAAUGGUGAAUUUUCUGAAAAAAGGCUGGAUGACCACAGUGAAGUCGGGGCGAGUGUCGUAACGUUUUGACUCGACAAGUUUCCUCAGUACCAGCUGUGAAACACGGGACAUUUGGUAACAUCUCUUAGUAGCUUCUAUUAACACAACGUAAACGUUUUGUACCUGAUAUUUCCUGUUUAGCUCCUCUUUCUCGUGCAAAGC
Molecule: long non-coding RNA, 873 nt
Organism: Entelurus aequoreus (snake pipefish)
Lineage: Eukaryota; Metazoa; Chordata; Actinopteri; Syngnathiformes; Syngnathidae
Exons: 4
Source: RefSeq, a predicted model, not a curated record